RNAcentral lists this ribosomal RNA (1446 nucleotides) under uncultured soil eukaryote. RNAcentral describes it as "SSU rRNA". It matches the Rfam family "Eukaryotic small subunit ribosomal RNA". The record is from RNAcentral.
CCAGUAAUCAUAUGCUUGUCUUAAAGAUUAAGCCAUGCAUGUCUAAGUAUAAGCUUUUAUACUGCGAAACUGCGGACGGCUCAUUAAAUCAGUGAUAAUAUUAUGGAAGUUUCAUUUUACUUGGAUAACUGUAGUAAUUCUAGAGCUAAUACAUGUCAACGGCCUUCGGGCUUGCACUGUCGGGAACAAUUAAUCAUGCCGGGAAACCGACUAGAUGAAACACUGACAUUACUGACCUUAAAAAUCUACAGCUGAUCGCAUAACCUCGUGUUGGCGACACACGAGGAUCAAUUGGAGGACAAGUCUGGUGCCAGCACCCGCGGUAAUUCCAGCUCCAAUAGCGUAUAUUAAAGUUGUUGCAGUUAAAACGCUCGUAGUUUGAACUGCGGAUAAUGAAAUUGCACGGCCCAGGCGGGAUUCGUGCGGAAGCUUAUCCUUUUUUGACAAUGAACCGGCAAUUCUUAACUGAGUGCGCUUGGUUUGUUGGCUUGUGUACUGUGAAUCGGGGUAAUUGGUAUUUAGUUGUCAGAGGUGAAAUUCUUGGAUUGAAUAAAGACCAACUGCAGCGAAGGCGUUUUACAAGGACGCUUCCGUCAAUCAAGAACGAAAGUUGGGGGAUCGAAGACGAUCAGAUACCGUCGUAGUCUCGACUAUAAACGUUACCGACUAGGGAUUGAGAGACGUUACUUGGAUGACUUUCCCAGCACCUCCCGAGAAAUCAAAGUUUUUAGGUUCCGGGGGGAGUAUGGUCGCAAGGCUGAAACUUAAAGGAAUUGACGGAAGGGCACACCAGAAGUGGAGCCUGCGGCUUAAUUUGACUCAACACGGGAAAACUCACCGGGUCCGGACACAGUAAGGAUUGACAGAUUGAAGCUCUUUCAUAAUUUUGUGGGUGGUGGUGCAUGGCCGUUCUUAGUUGGUGGGGUGAUUUGUCUGGUUGAUUCCGAUAACGAACGAGACGCCGAUUUACUAAAUAGGGGGUUCGGUUUUCUAUAUGGGUGAAGCUCGGCAUGCGGGUGGAGUUCCGAAAGGGACUUUGCUUCUGCCGGGUGGAUCUUUGAUUAUCCGGGCAACCUUCUUAGCAAGACUACUGCUGUUUAAGCAGGGGAAGUGGCGCAAUAACAGGUCUGUGAUGCCCUUAGAUGUCUCGGGCUGCACGCGCGCUACAAUGAUUGGGGUAGCGAGUUCCACUGAGUAAAACAACUCGGUAAAUCUUAUCAAUUCCAACCGUAACCGGGAUUGAUCAUUGUAAUUAUUGUUCACUAACGAGGAAUUUCUAGUAAGCACAAGUCAUUAGCUUGUGCUGAUUACGUCCCUGCCCUUUGUACACACCGCCCGUCGCUCCUACCGAUUGAAUGCUCCGAUGAAAACGACAGAUUUGGAGACGGCUUGCUUUUUUUAGAAAAGUUGGGUAAAUCUUAGCAUUUAGAGGAAGGAGAAGUCGUA